UAUUUAUUGGGCCAAAAUGUUCAUUUAGUUUCAUCACUGUGGUGAGGUCACAGUUUAAUGAAUCUUUUUGACACAACUCUUUUUUUAGGUCCAGACCCCAGCGAGCUGGUGCUGUUCUCCUUGUGUCCAGCUAUUGCUGUUGUAUCCUCUCUCUUCUCCUCUCUCCUAUCUUCUCUUCUAGUUUAUCAUCUCUGUCAGAAAAAAGCUCCACAACCUGAUCAGCAAACACCUCAAAGAAGACAGCAUGGGGAUGAAGAUGUGUGCUAUGCUGCACUGGAAAUCCAACAGACAUCACACAGACCACAGAAGAAGAAGAUCCAGAGUUCUGACUUCAGCACCUAUUCUGCCAUCAAUACUUCGAGGAUGUAGAGUCUGAAAAAGGGAAAUAACAACCACAACUAUUCAACAUCUACCAAUUUGAUCAUUUGGAGUCAAUUAGACCAUAGAAGGUAGUUUGCUUUAGGGCGGGGCUUACUGUGAUUGACGGACUGCAAAUCAAUUUCCAAGUGAUUUAACUUUACCUCUUCCCCAACUUCAGUACCUGCUCUGGAGAACUCUGUACUCAUCACAUCCCUCAUUUUUUCAUCCAGUCUGGGAGUUGUUCCACCUUCAACUCUUUCCCAGUGUGUUUUCAGCCCAUCGCAAAAAAUAAACAAGAUUGAGACAGAAAAAACAUACAAGUUGAUUUUUCACAGCGACAGUCUGCAAACAAAUGGGUGAAUUCACAGGGGGAAGCAUCCGCUUCUUUUAUCACAAUUAAUAUAUUGCAUUGAGUAAUGAUGAGUAAUGAUGAAUCUUAUCAUGUCUUUUAAGGCAAAUAGAGCAUUCUGUCACUUGAUCUUUAUUGAUGGCUUCUAGAUGUUAUGC
Pungitius pungitius (ninespine stickleback) is the source of this 867-nucleotide long non-coding RNA. RefSeq lists it as uncharacterized. NCBI's taxonomy places the organism in Eukaryota, Metazoa, Chordata, Actinopteri, Perciformes, Gasterosteidae. The record is from RefSeq and is a predicted model, not a curated record. The transcript is spliced from 3 exons.